Long non-coding RNA from Capsicum annuum, 1181 nucleotides. RefSeq lists it as uncharacterized. The transcript is spliced from 2 exons. The record is from RefSeq and is a predicted model, not a curated record. Lineage: Eukaryota; Viridiplantae; Streptophyta; Magnoliopsida; Solanales; Solanaceae.
UAUAAAGCAUAGAACUUUUAACCAAUUUAUCACCACCUCCUUUUCAAAUCUUUUGCUAUAUCGAAGAAAGAAAUUAUAGGUGUGAAAGGUAAGUUGAUUGGUUCAAUAGAGGUGAAGUGCGGAGGACACUAGAUUCAUGAGAUUUUGCACACCAAUCCUCGACAUAUACUCAACAAAAGCUCUAGUAAGGUGAGCCAUUUUGAGAUGGAUCACGAAGGUGAAAGCUUAAAGAUUGGUUCGAUAGUUAACUGGAAGUAUAACGAUGACGGAUCUGAAAAAGAUAAAACUGCCAAGGAAGUGAUUGAGGCAAUUGAUGUUGAGAAGAAAUCGAUUACUUGGAAAGUAAUUGGAGGAGACUUGCUAGAGUUGUAUAAUUCCCUUAUGCUCGUUUGGUAGAGUGUAUUAAAAUGUUAAUGUAUGCAUUAGUUUAAUGUGUAUUAGUAGUACCUUGUUUGGUAUACCUUUUUACCCUAUCUAUAAUUAAUGGAAGCAUUAGUUGUACACUCUAUUGUGUAUUGAGGUGUGUAUUACUAAUACCUCAAAAUCCAUGGUAUUAGUAAUGCAAUGAAUCUAAUGCAUGCAUUAACCUGUUUAAAGAUCCUAUUGCCCCUCAAAAAAAUUUCCGCAUCCUUUCGAACAUAUAUAUUGAGGGUAUUAUAUAAAAAUUUUUUUUUUUUUAGAAACUAUGUAAUUCAUGUUUUUUUAAUACAUCGAACCAAACACUGCAUAAGAAAAAUACAAGCAUAACGAAUGCAAGCAUAACUAACACAAACAUUAUUAAUAGAACUUAUUUUGCAUUAUUCUUAUACACUCUACCAAACGACCCUUAGUAUUAUCACAUCAUGUGAAGGCGAGUGGACUAAAUGUACUUUUGUGUAUGAAAAAAAGACUGAAGACACCCCAGAGCCUCUUGUUCCCUUUGGUUUGCUUCUUAAUUUACUUAAAGACAGAGGCUCAUCAUCUCAAGUAAUACAAGAUCUCUGGAUCUGUUGGCUCUCAGCAUUACCUAUAUAUCUAUGUGUGUCUAUGGGUGAGUUUAUACACAUAUAUAUAUACAUAUCUGUGUCCCUAUGUGUGAGUUUAUGUUAUAACUAUAUAGCAUCUUUGCAAUAUUGGCUAGUUCUAGCUAGUGUGUCAAAAUACGUAAUGUUGUGUUAAGAAUAAAAAUAAUGUUAUUGUUC